UGGGGAAUCUUGCACAAUGGGGGCAACCCUGAUGCAGCGACGCCGCGUGAGCGAUGAAGCCCUUCGGGGCGUAAAGCUCUUUCGACCGGAACGAUAAUGACGGUACCGGGAGAAGAAGCUGCGGCUAACUACGUGCCAGCAGCCGCGGUAAUACGUAGGCAGCAAGCGUUGUUCGGAGUUACUGGGCGUAAAGAGUGCGUAGGCGGUUUUCUAAGUUCGGUGUGAAAUCUCCCGGCUUAACUGGGAGGGUGCGCCGAAGACUGGGAAGCUGGAGUGUGGGAAAGGCUGGCGGAAUUCCUGGUGUAGCGGUGAAAUUCGUAGAUAUUCGCAAGAACACCAGUGGCGAAGGCGGUCUCUUGGUCCGACACUGACGCUGAGGCGCGAAAGCGUGGGGAGCAAACA
This 402-nucleotide ribosomal RNA is filed under the name uncultured bacterium. RNAcentral describes it as "bacterial SSU rRNA". It matches the Rfam family "Bacterial small subunit ribosomal RNA", at positions 355 to 774 of the family's 1533-position model. The record is from RNAcentral.